UACAGAGGGUGCGAGCGUUAAUCGGAAUUACUGGGCGUAAAGCGCACGUAGGUGGCGACGUAAGUCGGGUGUGAAAGCCCCGGGCUCAACCUGGGAAUUGCAUUCGAGACUGCAUUGCUGGAGUACGGAAGAGGAAGGCGGAAUUCCCGGUGUAGCGGUGAAAUGCGUAGAGAUGUGGAGGAACACCGAUGGCGAAGGCAGCCCCCUGGGCUGAGAUUGACGCUCAGGCACGAAAGCGUGGGGAGCAAACAGG
Molecule: ribosomal RNA, 253 nt
Filed under: uncultured bacterium
Lineage: Bacteria
Description: partial 16S ribosomal RNA
Rfam family: Bacterial small subunit ribosomal RNA
Source: RNAcentral